UUAUAAUUUGUGUUCGUUUAGGCUCAACACUGAAUAGGGAUAUAUUUGGGACAAUAUAAUUUAAAAGCUUGUUCUGGAGUAAAACAUGAAUCAACUGUAUCUUUAGGAGAAAUUCAACAUCACUCAAGAAUGAAGUUCAAGUAUAGUAUUCAUCAUUGAAGUUUCCCAAAAUUGUCUAAAAAUAAUAAUCAUUGCCAUUUUCCUCCCCUACUUACUAAAGUGGAAUCCAGCACUUUCACAAAUAAGAAAAAUAAUGCAAAGAGUAGAAGAAUAAGAAGAAGAAAAAACUUGAAACUUGAAGGGCUACAGUAUGGUGCGCUUCCAAUAAAGCUAUAUGCCAACAUGGUUAGAUUUUCAAGCUUCUUAAUGUUGAACUAAGUACAGAGAGAUUGCUGGGAGCUCUCUGCUUAUAGUCUUUCUCCAAUGCCAUUGCGGACAAAGAUUGCAGC
RNAcentral lists this long non-coding RNA (449 nucleotides) under Nicotiana benthamiana. RNAcentral describes it as "long non-coding RNA (NBEN_LNC002633)". The record is from RNAcentral. Lineage: Eukaryota; Viridiplantae; Streptophyta; Magnoliopsida; Solanales; Solanaceae.